GCCGAUGUGGCGGAAUUGGCAGACGCCUCGGACUUAAAAUCCGAUGGGAUCACCUCCCGUACCGGUUCGAGCCCGGUCAUCGGCACCA
RNAcentral lists this transfer RNA (88 nucleotides) under Clostridia bacterium. Its description in RNAcentral is "tRNA-Leu". It matches the Rfam family "tRNA". From Rfam's summary of the family: Transfer RNA (tRNA) molecules are approximately 80 nucleotides in length. Their secondary structure includes four short double-helical elements and three loops (D, anti-codon, and T loops). Lineage: Bacteria; Bacillati; Bacillota; Clostridia. The record is from RNAcentral.